CAGAAAAUAGUUUAAAUAAAAUAAUAGUUUUGGGUAUUAUAGAUAGUUUUUCUUUUUCUGA
RNAcentral lists this transfer RNA (61 nucleotides) under Grandidierella rubroantennata. RNAcentral's name for it is "tRNA-Pro". Lineage: Eukaryota; Metazoa; Arthropoda; Malacostraca; Amphipoda; Corophiidae. The record is from RNAcentral.